GUAGGGAAUAUUGGGCAAUGGAUGCAAGUCUGAUCCAGCCAUGCCGCGUGCAGGAAGACGGCCCUAUGGGUUGUAAACUGCUUUUAUACGGGAGCAAUAAGGUCUAUGCAUAGAUUGAUGAGAGUACCGUAUGAAUAAGCAUCGGCUAACUCCGUGCCAGCAGCCGCGGUAAUACGGAGGAUGCGAGCGUUAUCCGGAUUUAUUGGGUUUAAAGGGUGCGUAGGCGGCUUUGUAAGUCAGCGGUGAAAUUUUGCAGCUUAACUGUAAAAGCGCCGUUGAUACUGUGAAGCUAGGAUUUGGUUGCUGUGGGCGGAAUGUGUGGUGUAGCGGUGAAAUGCAUAGAGAUCACACAGAAUAUCGAUUGCGAAGGCAGCUCACAAAGCCAAUAUUGACGCUGAGGCACGAAAGUGUGGGGAUCAAACAGGAUUAGAAACCCUAGUAGUCC
RNAcentral lists this ribosomal RNA (445 nucleotides) under uncultured bacterium. RNAcentral describes it as "partial 16S ribosomal RNA". It matches the Rfam family "Bacterial small subunit ribosomal RNA", at positions 354 to 796 of the family's 1533-position model. The record is from RNAcentral.